RNAcentral lists this ribosomal RNA (468 nucleotides) under uncultured bacterium. RNAcentral's name for it is "partial 16S ribosomal RNA". It matches the Rfam family "Bacterial small subunit ribosomal RNA", at positions 28 to 507 of the family's 1533-position model. The record is from RNAcentral.
GACGAACGCUGGCGGCGUGCUUAACACAUGCAAGUCGAACGGAAAGGCCCUGCUUUUGUGGGGUGCUCGAGUGGCGAACGGGUGAGUAACACGUGAGUAACCUGCCCUUGACUGUGGGAUAACUUCAGGAAACUGGGGCUAAUACCGGAUAGGAGCUCCUGCUGCAUGGGGGGGGUUGGAAAGUUUCGGCGGGUGGGGAUGGACUCGCGGCUUAUCAGCUUGUUGGUGGGGUAGUGGCUUACCAAGGCUUUGACGGGUAGCCGGCCUGAGAGGGUGACCGGCCCCAUUGGGACUGAGAUACGGCCCAGACUCCUACGGGAGGCAGCGGUGGGGAAUAUUGCACAAUGGGCGGAAGCCUGAUGCAGCAACGCCGCGUGCGGGAUGACGGCCUUCGGGUUGUAAACCGCUUUCGCCUGUGACGAAGCGUGAGUGACGGUAAUGGGUAAAGAAGCACCGGCUAACUACGUG